This 354-nucleotide ribosomal RNA is filed under the name Gammaproteobacteria bacterium RIFCSPHIGHO2_12_FULL_39_24. RNAcentral's name for it is "bacterial SSU rRNA". It matches the Rfam family "Bacterial small subunit ribosomal RNA", at positions 1 to 341 of the family's 1533-position model. The record is from RNAcentral. Lineage: Bacteria; Pseudomonadati; Pseudomonadota; Gammaproteobacteria.
GCCAGUUAAAACUGAAGAGUUUGAUUCUGGCUCAGAUUGAACGCUAACGGCGUGCUUAACACAUGCAAGUCGAGCGGCAGCAUGAUCUGUAGCAAUACAGGUUGAUGGCGAGCGGCGGACGGGUGAGUAAUGCAUAGGAAUCUGCCUUGUAGUGGGGGAUAACCCGGGGAAACUCGGGCUAAUACCGCAUAAUCUCUACGGAGCAAAGUGGGGGAUCGUAAGACCUCACGCUAAAAGAUGAGCCUAUGUUGGAUUAGCUAGUUGGUGAGGUAAUGGCUCACCAAGGCGACGAUCCAUAGCUGGUCUGAGAGGAUGAUCAGCCACACUGGGACUGAGACACGGCCCAGACUCCUA